AAUUCAACAUACUAAUUAAACUAAGUGAAAACAAGAGAAAUUAACAAGCCUAUUUUACUUCUAGUAAAUUAAGUGACCCAAUAUGCAAUUAACAAAUAAAUUAAAAGUCCAAAUGGCCUAAGGAAACCUCUUGGCCGUGAGUCAUGUUUCAACAAGUCAAACUUCAAUUUCCACCUUCAAUAAGCCACCAAAAUGUGUUGACUUCUUGUCCUAUGUGCACCAUUCUUCAAGGAAAUAAGCAUGUACCUUAAACACACAAUAAAACCAUGUUUUCCUCCCUUCCCAUGUAGAAAAAACGUGAUUGUACACACCAAAGCACAAAAAAACGUGAACUACAAGGUGGUUGUUGCAAACAAUGCUUCAAACCAAGGGGUAAAUGAAAGAUCCUUUGAAUGCUUCAACCAAGAUGCCAUGUAAGCAAAGUCAAAAGGGAUAAAAACAAUCACAAUUGAUUCUCAUCAUCAAACCAUUCUCGGCAGAUUGCAAAGAGAGACAAAUCUUAAAGUGGAAACAUUCCUUGGGUGGAAAUAAGCAUCUCAUAUGUUUGCCCAAAAGUGGUAAAAAUUAAAUGCAUCAUUCUCUCUCCCUUCCCAUGCACCAAAUGGUUUUCUUUCUUCUCUACAACCAACAAUCAGAUUUCUUUCAUUUCUAAUUACCAAGAAUGCAUCCAAACAACCCAAGUUCCAAAUGCAAAACAAUACACACACAUCAAACACAAGUCUACCUCCUUCAACCCAACUUCUAAGUCUCUUCUCUUCAAAUUUUUGACAAAAACAAAAUUGAAUCCCUAAACCCCUUUGCAAAACUAUCCAGCCCCCAUCACGAAACACAAUGUCCAGCUCAAAAUAUUACUCUCAGCCAUUAAACAAAAGAUCAAGCAGAAAAGAGUCUAAACCUCAAACACCCAUGCUAUUGAAUAAUGUCUUAAACAAAGCAUGCAAAUAUAAUGGAGGAAAAAAUCUAACAACUAAUGAAUAAAAGCAUAUGAAUAAAGCAACAAUUCAAUAUAUGAUAGUUUCAAAGGAUUACAUCAAGUCCCCAGCAAUAAUGGAG
RNAcentral lists this long non-coding RNA (1053 nucleotides) under Vigna radiata. RNAcentral's name for it is "long non-coding RNA (VRAD_LNC001158)". The record is from RNAcentral. Lineage: Eukaryota; Viridiplantae; Streptophyta; Magnoliopsida; Fabales; Fabaceae.